This 499-nucleotide ribosomal RNA is filed under the name uncultured bacterium. RNAcentral's name for it is "partial 16S ribosomal RNA". It matches the Rfam family "Bacterial small subunit ribosomal RNA", at positions 28 to 507 of the family's 1533-position model. The record is from RNAcentral.
GACGAACGCUGGCGGCGUGCUUAACACAUGCAAGUCGAACGGGCCCGCCCCUGUUUUUGGGGGUGGGUUGAGUGGCGAACGGGUGAGUAUCACGUGAGUAACCUGCCCCCUGCUCCUGGAUAACUGCUUGAAAGGGCGGCUAAUACGGGGUGUGCCGGCUGGUCCGCAUGGGCCUGGUCGGGAUAGUUUCAUCUUCGGGUGUUUCGGUGGGGGAUGGGCUCGCGGCCUAUCAGCUUGUUGGUGGGGUGAUGGCCCACCAAGGCGGUGACGGGUAGCCGGCCUGAGGGGGUGGGCGGCCAAACUGGGACUGAGACACGGGCCAGACUCCUGCGGGAGGCAGCAGUGGGGGGUAUUGCACAAUGGGCGGAAGCCUGAUGCAGCGACGGCGCGUGAGGGAUGGAGGCCUUCGGGUUGUGAACCUCUUUCUCCGGUGGUGAAGGCCCUGUCCGUUGCGGCGGGGUUGACGGUAGCCGGGUAUGAAGCGCCGGCUAACUACGUG